Non-coding RNA from Paramuricea clavata, 309 nucleotides. The record is from the annotation of a GenBank genome assembly. NCBI's taxonomy places the organism in Eukaryota, Metazoa, Cnidaria, Anthozoa, Malacalcyonacea, Plexauridae.
UAAUACUUGCCAGAGGUGUGCAUCGGAUCGGAUUGGACGUUUAUAAUCCGACAAUUGGCUAAUGUUUAAAAUCCGAUCCGAAAUUGUCUAAUCCGAAUCCGAUCCGAGUUUUGAUAAAGAAAUAUAAAAGCAGGAAAUACAUGUCAAGAAGCGGACAAAGUGCAUGAUUCUGGAUAAUUAAUUCAUUUUAUUUCGAAUAUCGAAGUCCGUUCCGACUACAAAACAACUUUAUCAAUCCGAUCCAAUCCGAAAUGAAUAUUUUUGUUCCGAAAUCCGAACGAAUCGGAUUGGAUUCGGAUCGGAUUUGCA